CCAUUACACAUUUUGUAAAAUUAAAAACUACUGGGGUUUCUUUAAUAAAAUAAAUAUAAAUUUAAGAAUUGAGGAUUUAGGGAAAUCACGAUGAUUUAAACCCUGCCCAAAUCAAAAUCGUUCAGCCAUCUGGGUGCGCGUCUGUUGCGUGUACUUCUCCGGCUCAGCUCCGGUUCAUGACUGCUCAACGGUUCUGGAUCGACGCUCUCCGCGAUUUCAGAAUUUGAGUCUUCUUCUUCUGGCACGGCUGCAGCUCUGAUGUGCUCUACAUCCUCCCUUAAUGUGCUGAAGUCCACCGGAGUCGCAUCAUCGUCGCCCCCUUCAGAUUCAACAUUGUCCUCAAUGUUGAUGGACGGGUGCAUCUUCUUCACUUCUUCCUCGAAU
Molecule: long non-coding RNA, 384 nt
Filed under: Zostera marina
Lineage: Eukaryota; Viridiplantae; Streptophyta; Magnoliopsida; Alismatales; Zosteraceae
Description: long non-coding RNA (ZMAR_LNC001572)
Source: RNAcentral